AGCCUAAGGAAACAAAUCUUAGGUCAAACCUGCCCAAUGUGAAUUAACAUCAAUGGCCGCGGUACCUUGACCGUGCUAAGGUAGCGAAAUCAAUUGGCUUUUAAUUGGAGUCAGGUAUGAAUGGAACCACGGGGUUGAGCUGUCUCCUAAAUAAUUAUUUGAAGUUACUAUAUGGAUGAAAAAGUCCAGUAAAAAGAAAAAAGACGAGAAGACCCUUAGAAUUUUUCCUAUAGUGAGCUAUUAAUUUCUUCAAAAGUUUAGUUGGGGCAACUUAAGAAAAAUAAGAUAAACUUCUAAAUCUAUACAGGUCGUUUUUGUAAAACAUGUGUAAAUUACCUUAGGGAUAACAGCAUUAUGUAAAAAAUAAGUUUGUGACCUCGAUGUUGGACUGGGAAACUAUAAGGCUAGCCG
Molecule: ribosomal RNA, 411 nt
Filed under: Hypselodoris pulchella
Lineage: Eukaryota; Metazoa; Mollusca; Gastropoda; Nudibranchia; Chromodorididae
Description: partial 16S ribosomal RNA
Source: RNAcentral